RNAcentral lists this ribosomal RNA (253 nucleotides) under uncultured bacterium. Its description in RNAcentral is "partial 16S ribosomal RNA". It matches the Rfam family "Bacterial small subunit ribosomal RNA", at positions 524 to 776 of the family's 1533-position model. The record is from RNAcentral.
GACGAACCGUCCUAACGUUGUUCGGGAUCACUGGGCUUAAAGGGCGCGUAGGCGGGUUCCCAAGUCGGUGGUGAAAUCUUUCGGCCCAACCGGAAAACAGCCGCCGAUACUGGGAGUCUUGAGGGAGGUAGGGGUCGAUGGAACUUCCGGUGGAGCGGUGAAAUGCGUAGAUAUCGGAAGGAACGCCGGUGGCGAAAGCGAUCGACUGGACCUUUUCUGACGCUGAGGCGCGAAAGCCAGGGGAGCAAACGGG